RNAcentral lists this ribosomal RNA (368 nucleotides) under uncultured organism. RNAcentral's name for it is "bacterial SSU rRNA". It matches the Rfam family "Bacterial small subunit ribosomal RNA", at positions 526 to 896 of the family's 1533-position model. The record is from RNAcentral.
CGGAGGGUGCAAGCGUUAUCCGGAUUCACUGGGUUUAAAGGGUGCGUAGGCGGCUAUAUAAGUCAGUGGUGAAAGCCCGCAGCUCAACUGCGGAACUGCCAUGAGACUGCAUAGCUUGAAUCUGGUUGAAGUGGGCGGAAUACAUCAUGUAGCGGUGAAAUGCUUAGAUAUGAUGUAGAACACCGAUUGCGAAGGCAGCUCACUAAGCCAACAUUGACGCUGAGGCACGAAAGCGUGGGUAGCGAACAGGAUUAGAUACCCUGGUAGUCCACGCCCUAAACGAUGAAUACUCGAUGUGUGCGCCUUGUGCGUACGCGUCCAAGCAAAAGCGUUAAGUAUUCCACCUGGGAAGUACGGCCGCAAGGUUA